RNAcentral lists this ribosomal RNA (696 nucleotides) under Triticum aestivum (bread wheat). RNAcentral's name for it is "partial small subunit ribosomal RNA". The record is from RNAcentral. Lineage: Eukaryota; Viridiplantae; Streptophyta; Magnoliopsida; Poales; Poaceae.
AUGGCAAAGCUAGUUUCCAGUUCCAGGGAGGGAACCUGUGGCAAUGGCUGCUGCUGCUGCUCCGGCGACGACGGCGGUGGUGCCGCGGAUGAGCUGGGCUCCCAGGGGCUGGAGGUGUCGGCGCUGGGGCUGGGCUGCAUGGGCAUGUCCGCCUACUACGGGCCGCCCAAGCCCGAGCCGGACAUAGUCGCGCUCAUCCACCACGCCGUCGCCGCCGGCGUCACCCUCCUCGACGCCUCCGACAUCUACGGCCCGCACACCAACGAGCUCCUCCUCGGCAAGGCGCUGCAGGGCGGGGUGAGGGGCAAGGUGCAGCUGGCGACCAAGUUCGGCAUCCUCGCCGGCGCCGACGGCGCGCGGGCGAUCCGCGGCGACCCGGCGUACGUGCGCUCGGCGUGCGAGGGCAGCCUCCGGCGCCUCGGCGUCGAAUGCAUCGACCUCUACUACCAGCACCGCGUCGACGUCAGCGUGCCCAUCGAGGUCACGAAACUGGUUGAAGAGGGGAAGAUAAACUACAUUGGGUUGUCUGAAGCAUCGGAGUCGACCAUCCGAAGAGCGCACACGGUUCAUCCCAUAACCGCUGUCCAGCUAGAGUGGUCGUUGUGGUCGAGAGAUGUCGAGGAAGAUAUAAACUUGCAGGGAACUUGGCAUUGGAAUUGUGGCGUACAGUCCGUUGGGCAGAGGGUUCUUCUCUAG